UAGAUGGUGGCUCACCAUUUUAAAAAAUGAUAAUUACAUCCAAAUUCCAUUUGUUGAGCCUAUGAGUAUGAUUUUGUGGCAAACUGUCUUUCUACCUCUGCAAGAUUAAUCUCUCUAGAAAGCAGAGAAGGAAGCCAUACAGCUCUUCAGAUGCUGAUGAUCUAUUUAUUUAUUUAUCACCUUGAUGAAACAAUUAGGAGACUAGAGCCUCAUAAAUUACUUGCCCAUGUUAUGAUGCUUUAGCGUUUUUUUCUGCAGCUGCACUGAUGCCAUGCAUCCUUCCUUGGCUGGCCUUGUGAGGUUAUUAAAGGAUAUUUCAAGAAACUACCACAAUCUUUCCUAUUGUCAUGUUCAUACAUAUUGAUAAGCUGAGUAGCUAAUCCUCCCCUUUAUCCAUUAAGCUGAAAGUGAGGGGUGGGGAGAAUAAGAGGAUCAUCAGUAACCUGAAAUGAGGAAUGAAAUAAGAGCACUGAUAGAGCAUCAUUCAUGGAAGUGUGGCUGCCCAUGAGUUUUCCCACACCAAGCUGCACUGGAAGGGAAUGUUUCCUCACUCUGGUCUAUGUAGGACCAUGAAUUACAUACUGAGCACUGGGAGGACUCCUGAUAACAUCAGGAGAUGUAUGCAUGUGCACCAGUGGUUAGUAGGCUUAAUCUUAUAGAGCACACUAAUUAGAUAUUGCUUUUCCUGUUGGGUUUGGCAAAUAAAUUGCUAUCAUCAUUACCACAGAUUAUGGCAAAAGCCCUGCAAAUAGAACAUCUGCUUUUAAUUAAAUACACGCAGAGAUAUUUCAACACAUACCCAUUAAUCAAACGUUAACUUUGCUUUUAACCUCUUUUACUUAGUCAAGCAGUUGUUAUAAAAACAUGUACUCAUUCUUCCAUGCAACAGUGGUUAUAAUUUUCUAUGUAUAUGUAUAUCUAAAAAAAAAAAGAAAAAAAAAAAAAAGAAAAGGCUUUUAUCUUGGAAAGGUUUUUGUUGUUUUUUGUUGUUUUUUUUUUGUUUGUUUGUUUUGUUUUGUUUUCCUAUAUAUUCCCUCACUUGUACAAUUCAUUUUGGUCUAAUUUUCAAAAUGGGUGACCAGGUGCUUGAGAUAACACAGGUAGGUCUGAAUUCCUCUAAAAACAAUGCUUCUAGAGGUCCAUCACUGCCAGCAUCUGUAAGCUCAUUGCUGAGAAAGAAAUGAUUUGCUGCUGGCAGAGAGAAAGGCAAAGCUAAUUUAGGAACCUUUGAAUGAGGGGAGAACUGAUAAAACAUUUUCUGUCUCCAACUGUUCUGAGUUUUCUCACAGUCAAGAGUCAAAAUUGAUAGUACUUUAAACAAGAAAGCUGUAGAGCGUCUUGAACUUUAGGGUCAAAUUGUGCUAAUUGGGUAACAAUUAAUUUUGAGUGACCUCUAGUGGUGCUUUCCCACAAUUUCCUUUCAAUUAGAUAAGUGGGAUCCCUAUUAGUAACAGAAUAUCAGGCUCUGUAUUUAAUAGCCUUUUCUCAUCAGCAGGGUAAAUAGUCCAGAGCUAGAUGGGGAGGCCACAUCACGGGUUUGCUUUUCUGCACAAAUCUCCUGAUAACUUGAUAGAGCACAUGAUGGAUUUUCCUUAUGCAUUCUUUUUUGCUCACUGAUCAUUCUACCUAGCACAGCUCUAUGUUGCAAAGCAGCCCACACCCCAGGACUUCGUUGUACGAAUAUGUCCAAGUGUGCCUCUGCAGGAAAAUGAAGAUGUGAUUUCACCAGAGCUAUAGCAGUGGGACUGCAGAAGCAGCUGUGGGUCAUGGCCUAUGGACUUGCACAGGAGGGCGAUGUGCAGGCUGCAAUUUGAAGAUCGGAAGAACAGAACUGUGACAGCAACAAGAGGGGGAUUUGCCAUCUUCAAACAGCGCUUUACAACCGCAACAGCCAAGAUGAGAAACUGAGGCACAAAUUGCUCCCAACACCCAGAUUUCCCAGAUUAUUUGGCUUGGAAAUAACAUUGAGGAUCAAUCACAGCCAUUUGGAGACAGACCCAGAAUGCACCACAGAAGUGCUGUGAAUCCUUCUUCAUUUCUUGGCUGAAGUGGCAACCAGAUCCUCAGCAUCCUCACCCAAGUUUGCGCCCUCAACACAGCGUGGCCCUCUGCCAGCUGGGAGCUUUUCCAGCCCACAGAUGAUAAUGACCUGGUGGAUCUUCAAAUUCACUGGACUUCAGGGAUCCAGCAAUGACUUCUGCCAGAAAAGGGGGGCUGGCGAAUGGAAUGACUGUGUAGGGUGAAUGCAGCACCACAUACAAGAAGCAGUACAAUCGCUGCCUACAUUUUGUGGGUCUGGCAUGCAGAAUGCAUUCAGUGCUGUAUCUCCAAUGAACCCACUUCAGUGUGAAGCUGUGAUAACGUGGGGAGAUCAGAAGAUCUCCUGAGGGUUGAUACGCACCAUGACAAGCUUUCAAAUGCCAGGUGAUGGUACUGAAAGGGACAUCCAGAGCUCCAUCACAACAGCAGUUCCUGCAUUUGAACCCGUUUGUGGAACUACCUCUUGGUUUAUUUUGAGCACAGUACAAAUUUACUAAAAUUAAACUUCUGAAAAUGUGAAGACAGAGAAGCAAGUUAAACCUCCUGGGUAAAUUUGCCACUCAGCACACUCUAGAUGAAAUCACCUUUAAUGGAAAUAAGACUAUUCUAAGAUUACCUGUAUUUCCUCGGGUUAGGGGUCCUCUUUCUUCCCCUGAUGCACUACACAGAUCCUAUUGGUACCACUGAGUCAUAAUGCGAGCAGCAGAGAUUGCAGCACCACUCACAACUCUUGCCCUCAGGUAGCCCAUGAACAUCGAUACCUUACAUCGUUGCAUCAGCACAGCAUGAAGCACCAGCAGGUAAGACGAGGAUAGAGCACUUGCUCAGAGGAUGGUUUUUCACUUGGCACUGCUGUGCCCGGGACCAGGCUCCAAAAGCAAGCACAAGGGAACUCGUUAAGUACAACAGGAUGCGAUUAGUCCCACAUGGGGAGCUCAUGUGUUAUAUCAAAAGAAACAACAACCAGCUGGUAGAACUACUUACAUCAAGGAAAGGAAUGGUGAGGAGGAGAGCUGAGGAGAGCAGUGACCACCAGGAGAGCGAGUACUGGGUAUGAGACAAGAAGCUUUUGGAUCUACGUGGGCAUGACUGCACCCCGGUCAAGGGGACAACGUGACACACAAAGGAGGUGACCCUGCAGCGUGACAGAUCUGAAUGCACGGAGUACAGAUGGAGCAUCUCCGAGGGAUGUGGUCUGAGGAAUCACAAGUGAAAUUGAUGAGAACUUGAUGCAACACCAAGCACUUUUAUCAGAAUUUCAAUGGAAAUUCCAAGCAAAGCAGGUUGGAUGACAAGCACAUGAACACCGACCUUGGGAAGAGCAACUGUGAGUGUGGGGAAGCUUUUAACACAGAAAAGAACUGUGGAAAAAUGAAGAUAGGUAGCAAAAACUGGAUUCAUGGUGGCCUUCCCAUUGAUAGGAAUUUCUCUGCAUGAGGAUGCCCUAGGAUGCAUGCUGGCAGCUCAGUGCAACACACGGCAGGGGUGUGCACCGCAGGACAUUUCCCCAUGCAAGUCUGUUCUGGAAGGGCAAUAUUUCACCUGAGAGAACAGGCUAAGAGAACAUGCACUUUGCAAGUGCAAAAAGAAGCGUAAGACCCUCUAAAUGUCUGGCCCCAGGCAAUCUGUUUCCUUUCACAGGACCGCUCUUGAAGCAGAUCUGCAAGGACUUAUCGCUUCCAUCUGCGCCACAGAGACAAGGGCACCGUUCUCACCCCAGUUCCACACAGACAUCCCAGAAUUGCCGACAGCCGCUGCGGCCCCAUAGCAAAAUAUUCCUGCAUGUCUCAGCAAGCUUUCCAAGCUGUGCACGCGGGGACGUGCAGCCACACACACGCCCUGUGCAGGUGGCUCCUGGGAACCCAACCGUGAGCUCUCCUUGUUGGGAAAUGGAGAACCUUCCUCCAUUUCAGCAGCUCCUCUACCAAAUUGCACCCCCCAAAAUACAGCUGGGAGAUACACGCAUAUUCAGUUCUGGGGCCUCCAACGCAAGAAGGUUAUGGAGCUGUUGGAGAGGGCUCAGAGGAGGGCCACAAAGAUGAUCAGAGAGCUGGAGCACCUUCCCUAUGGGGACAGGCUAAGAGAGCUGGGGCUCUUCAGCCUGGAGAAGAGAAGGCUCCAGGGGGACUUUAUAGCGGCCUUCCAGGACCUGAAGAGGGCCUACAGGAAAGAUGGGGAGGGACUUUUUAUAAGGGCAGGUAGUGACAGGAUGAGUGGAAACAGUUUUAAACUGGAAGUGGGUAGAUUGAGGCUGGAUAUCAGGAUGAAAUUCUUUACUGUGAGGGUGGUAAGACACAGGAACAGGUUGCCCAGUGAAGCUGUGGAUGACCCCUCCCCAGAGGUGUUCAAGCCCAGGUUGGAUGGGGCUGUGAGCAACCUAGUCUAGAGGGAGGUGUUCCUGCCUAUAGCAGGAGAGUUGAAACUAGAUGAUCUUAAAUGUCUCUUCCAACCCCAAACUGUUCUGUGAUUCUCUCCAGAUGCAUGUUGGUGGUAGGACAUAAGUGCUGCACAGCCCCUUCCAGGAGCACCUGGAGAUGCUUCCAGAAGACUCUGCCUGGACACAGUGUGCUGCUUGACCACAUCUGCCUGUUGUAAAGCGAAGUACCUAAAGCAAGCCAAAUUCAUGGAAGGCGAAGCACUUAUUUAGUGCAAUUUAGCAGUCACCUGUGCACCUGGGAAAUCUGCUUGGUGCUAAAGGUUUGCCUGAGCCCUGGUUCUGUGAGGAUAAAUGAGAACGUGUGUUGGGCAAGAGCAGCAGGAGGCAGCCAGAUCUGCACUGAGCUAACCUCAUCCCACCCAGUAUGCAAGAAAUGUAUCUGUGAAGAACUACUCGUACAACUGUGUUCAUCAGCAAAGACUUACAUUAGUGCACAGCUUCCAUUACGCCUAACUGAAACCAAAGAGAGUCAGCUCGUCUUGGACUUCAUAGCAGAGCCCAGUGAGGAUGAAAGAUCACCCCUUGUUAACAGCAAGGGGCUCAUAGGAGACUGGUGUCAGCAGCAGCAAAAAGGAAGGAGAGCGAGGCGUGCAGGAGCAGAGCAGACAUCCUUCUCACCAUCUCUUCCACGACUGUUGAACUGCUUCCUCUAAGAGAUUAAGAUGACGACCUGUCCUGCUGUCUCCGGGCUGGGAGAUAAGGUCUAUCUCUGCAUCCCAACUGUCCUCGCUGGGGAACUGCAAGGAGUGGUGCUGACAGGAGUGCAGCAAGGGAGGAGAUGGGGAGAGCAGUGAGCAGCAAAUGGAAAAUUCUGGCACUGCGGGGCUGAGCGAGAGUGUCACUGCUGACAUCACUAAAAGUAGGAUCAAACCUGAUCUAAAAAGCAAUUUGGAAUAUGAGCUUUUCUUUCCAAAUGAGCGGUAAGUGCCUUCCUUCACACGGAAUCCGGUGCAGUAAUAGUGGCUUCUAUUACACUUUAAAUUGAUUGGCUUUAUGGCCCAGAACUGGGGAAUUGCCCUAGCCUGAUCUCGGCGGGCUCAUGUUUCUAAUUCUGGCAACUCUAAAUCCGGAUGCCCUGAAAAUCCGUGCUGUUGCUUACAGUGUGUGCUGUUAUCUCCAUUUUCAUGUGUCCGGGCAAAAUAAAGGAGCCGGGAUGCACAGAAGAUUGGCCAAAAGGUGAAAAGGAAACCAGGAAAGCAAGCUAGCGAGUGCAGAAGGAAAAGUUUACAUGCAGAGUUCAUCCAUGUAUAAUCUUGAAUGAUUAUUAGAGAAUGGCUUGGGUUGGAAGGAACCUCCAUGAUCAUCCACUUCCAACCCCAUGCUAUAGACUGGUUGCCAACUGCUAGACCAGGCUGUGCACAGUCCCAACCAGCCUGGCCAUGAAUGCCUCCUUUGUAUUUGCAUUAUCCAAGACCUUUUGUAUGAGAGCGAGGUAGCAUCUCUGUGUCCUUCCAUUGGGGUCUGAAGGACAUGGAUGGAGAGAUGCAGACACCACCACGCUUCUGAGCCCACGUCAAUCCUUUGCACGGCCUGUGUGCAGCCCCAUUUAGGACAUCAGAACCUGUAUUUGUGCCACCAGGUUAAAAAAUAGCCCCACUGAAAGGAAAAGCUUAACAAGGUGCAGCACAUCGGCAUGAAGGAAAGAGCAGCUGAUGGGCUGCAGAGUGACUUGGAGGAGCUCCCACCCUGUGCUGGAGCAGAGCUCAUAACUCCGGCUCACACGGAGGACGUGCCCUGGGGGAAUUAUUCUACCUUUGAUCCGCACACGAAAUCCCAGCUGCUGUCAGAGGAGCCGUGCAUGCCUAACCACGGCUGUACAUCAUCCUAAUAAAGGCCAAAGAGAAGCUCAUAUAUAAAUGGAGUGCAAAGUUUUUUGACACUGGCUCUAAUAAAUAUCAGCACGCUUGGAAAAAAAAUAAUGUGGGCUUACGUGUCUGAGGUGGGAAAAUAGCUAUAGCCGUGCCUGAUUGACUGGAAAGAAAUAUUUAAGGCCGUUGAAUCAUUAGAUAAAAACUGAUCUUGAAAUGUCAGGAUCUGGUGAGGAUAACAGAACUGUCAAUUUUGUCCAUGAAAAUCUCCCUUUUCUUUUGCCCACUUUUCUCUUUUAUUUUUAAUAACAAUCCGUUGGAAAUGCUGCACUCGUGGCUUGCUGGUAUUUGCUGUUCUAUUUUAAUACUAUCCAGUAGUUCUUUCAUCCUUUUCUUUUAAUAUUUACUCAUAGAAUCAAAUGCUGGGCAAAAUUUAUCUGCUGAAAAAAAAUUCCCAAGAGUGAAAACCAAUUACACGUACGUUGUUAGUGAGGGCAUGGCUGGGGCUUCUGUCCAACCCAAGAGUCCUUCCAUUGAGCUUACAGCAGCCCAGGACUUCGGCAUUAGGAGUAUGGUGUGAAUGUUUUGCUCUGUGCAGCGUUGUUUCUUAACUUUGUGUAAAGAUGAAAUGCUGUAUGCAUCGGUUACACCGGGUAUGGCCUUGGAAACAUCAACUGCUAUUCCACAGGAUAACACGUAGCUGGUAAUGAGGUGACUAAUAGUAAAGACUGUGGCUGGGAGCAGCAGUUCAACAUAAGAGGCUCUCCAGCCUGAAGGAUUCCAGCUGGAAAAGGCCAGUUUAAAAUUCUCACGUUUCCUCCACAUUCAACAACUGCUUCUGCAGCUCAAAUGAUCCAUCCUGGCUACUCCUAUACGGCGUGUCACGUCCUUUGUGGAGAGAAGGAAGCCAGCCUUCAGCUGAGCAGCAAAUUGUGGGCUGAGGGUGACCUGGGGCCUUCUGCAGCCCUUCUUGUAUCGGGGACAGGGACAGAGCUUUGGCUGAGCCCAACCGCACAGCGGGUAGUGGAACCUUGUGCUGACAGUGGGGCACAGGACAGCUCUGGAUGUGCCAUAGCCCCUCUGGCCAUAGAGCUGAGCCACUGGCAUGAUAGAGGGCAUGGCUCCCCCAAAAAACUGGGACAGUGUGAUGCAGAUUUCAAUGGAACUGUCACCCUCCAAACGAGGUCUGCAGGGAAAUUCCACUGAUUAUUUUCUUCCUCCGUCUCUCUGUUUGAUAUAUGAAGUAAGUAGGAGAGAGGGAAGAGGAGAAGCUAAGCCUCAUAAGCUGCUCCACUGGCUGCUGUGGGUCUCCAUUCUGAUUUCCCACUGUCAGCGUUUUCAAAGACACCAACACUGCUCAAUUUAAGCAACGCAUAAUACAAAGCCAAGAACUUCUUUUGACAGGUUGUCUUAGAAAAGAAAGAAAGAAAGAAAAGAGAAGGAGGAUCUCAAUUUUAACUACAUUUAUCUUAACACGCCAGACACAUGGAAAUCCCAUGGGCACAAAAGAGGGGUCACCAGACAUGGGACACGGAGCUGCCAUGGGGCUCGGAGGCAGGAGUGCUGCCAGAGCCCAGGCCAUGCCAGCAUGAAGUCCUUAUAACACACAGAGCCAGAACCUCCCAGUUUUAGCAAAUACAGACAGCCAGAAAGCAGCUCUCAUCUGUAAUAAUUACAACAGAGUUUCCCUUGUCCUUGCUCUAUUUAUUGCUUUUGCCCUUACCAUGCAUUGUCCGAGACAGAAGAGACUAUUAACGAUCAGAAUAUUUCUUUGUGGACAGGCAGAGCUUUGGUGGAAAACUCCCUCUUUCUCUCAAACAUCGCCACUUCUAUUAGAGGAGGAACGAGUUGGUUUACACUGCAGAUUGAAUGAGGCAUUAAAUGACUGCGUUGCAAUGACUGCAGUGGGGGGAAUGGUCGCCUCUGGUGGAAUUGGAAAGCUGUAAUGACACCUUCAUAAAGGCACAAUAACUGUUCAAGUAUCCUUGUCUAAUUUGUCACAAAAGUUGUCCAGGACUUUUCUCUCCUUUAUUUUUCAGAGGGGGAAAAGGUGAAUAUCAGGAAUUACAGCUGAG
This 8360-nucleotide long non-coding RNA is filed under the name Gallus gallus (chicken). RNAcentral's name for it is "lncRNA (ENSGALG00010001614.1)". Lineage: Eukaryota; Metazoa; Chordata; Aves; Galliformes; Phasianidae. The record is from RNAcentral.